UAUCUGGCUGUUUCAUCAUCCUAUUGACUCUGUUCUAUGUUAAACUUCAAUCUUAUCAAUGUCAUAGGUUCUUGAGUUUGAAUGCAAAGCAAUCAUUGGUUAACCAUUACUGAUUAUUAUUUUUUAUGUAAAAUGUUUCGAGUUCCUUCAGUUGUUGAUGCACAUUCCAUGAAUGGCUAAUGCAGGCCCAUGAUGGGAAAGGACCUACAUUUCUCGGAUCAUCAUGCUAAUAUGUCAGGUAGCACAGCUUGAAAAUUUAUUUUAAAUGAUAAUACUUCCCAAAGAACUCAUAGAAGGGUCAAGAUGUUUGAACUUUGUGGAUCUAUACUUUCAAGCCAUAUUGAAUGAGAAUGGUAAUUACCUAUCUGCACUGAAAAUUAAUUUUCCGUUAGUGAUUGUUCUUAAUUGUUACAAGCUCUUGUUCUAUCAGGGCCCAAUCAGAUCCAAGAAAAAGUUCCUAACCAUACAAUCUUUGUCCUUUUUCCUAGGCUUGUUACUGUAUUUUUUUCCUUAACUGUUUACUCGUAGGCCAUUGAUCGAAGGAUUAGGAACUUCCAAUCUGGGGACAUUCUCUGUCCAAAUUGAGACCCAUCAGAGCUAUAGUCUAGAAUAUCACCAGCCGGGCCGGAUUGUAACAGGCUCAUGACUUGUUUUAGUAUAAAUAGUAGAACAUUGUUUUUAAGUUUUAACUAGAGAUCUGAUUUGUGGUCUUUCUUUUGUAGUAGAAGUUACUUGGCAUGUGUGAGGCAAAUGGAUGUGACAUAGUGAGUGGUCACUAAUGCAAGUUCAUUUAUGAAUGGUUAUUGACUAUUUUAACAAGGCACUGGAGGGCUCAAGUAUAGAUCUGUCAUAAGCCAGUAUCUCUGUGUAGAUUGAUCUUGGGAAACAAACAAUUACAUGACCGCCACUGCUAAGCUCGCUCUCUGUAUUUGCACUGCAUCCGUUAUAUUUGAGAGUACCAGCACUUUCAGAAAAUAUGCCAGAGGAUAUUAAGCAAGAAAUCUUGAAGGAAAGAAGAACGGGUAGAUGGAAAGGUAUUGCCUCCUGCAAAAUAGAGAGAAAUGUAAAGGAGAUUGGUGUAAAGGGAAGAGGAUCUUUGUAGCACGUGUCAGAUUUGGGAUAUUCAUCAGUUGGGGACCAGACUCACCAAGAAAAGGAUGAUGACCUUUUCUUUGUAUUCUCAGUAUUAUUG
Magnolia sinica is the source of this 1192-nucleotide long non-coding RNA. RefSeq lists it as uncharacterized. The record is from RefSeq and is a predicted model, not a curated record. The transcript is spliced from 4 exons. NCBI's taxonomy places the organism in Eukaryota, Viridiplantae, Streptophyta, Magnoliopsida, Magnoliales, Magnoliaceae.